This 491-nucleotide ribosomal RNA is filed under the name uncultured bacterium. RNAcentral describes it as "bacterial SSU rRNA". It matches the Rfam family "Bacterial small subunit ribosomal RNA", at positions 35 to 473 of the family's 1533-position model. The record is from RNAcentral.
GCUGGCGGCAUGCUUAACACAUGCAAGUCGAACGGAAACAGGACGCUGUUCAAUAUUCGGGAGAUCCCUUCGGGGUGAUCCCUUAAGGAGAACUUGUCGCUGUCGAGUGGCGGACGGGUGAGUAAUGCGUAGGAAUUUGCCUCGAGGUGGGGGAUAGCCCGAAGAAAUUCGGAUUAAUACCGCAUAACCUCUACGGAGCAAAGCGGGCCUCUUCUUGAAAGCUCGCGCCUGGAGAUAAGCCUACGUCGGAUUAGCUUGUUGGUGGGGUAACUGCCUACCAAGGCGACGAUCCGUAGCUGGUCUGAGAGGAUGAUCAGCCACACUGGAACUGAGACACGGUCCAGACUCCUACGGGAGGCAGCAGUGGGGAAUAUUGCACAAUGGGCGAAAGCCUGAUGCAGCAAUGCCGCGUGUGUGAAGAAGGCCUGCGGGUUGUAAAGCACUUUUAUCAGGAAAGAAGCAGCUUGGGGUUAAUACCCCCUUGCCUUGAC